Molecule: ribosomal RNA, 433 nt
Filed under: uncultured bacterium
Lineage: Bacteria
Description: partial 16S ribosomal RNA
Rfam family: Bacterial small subunit ribosomal RNA
Source: RNAcentral
AACGAACGCUGGCGGCAUGCCUAACACAUGCAAGUCGAACGAGACCUCCGUGUCUAGUGGCUCACGGGUGCGUAACGUGUCGGAACCUUCCCUUAGGCUCGGAAUAACUCCCUGUCAUGGGUGCUAAUAUCGGAUAAUUUCCUCUGAUCAAAGAUUUAUCGCCCUUGGAUGGGCCCGCGUUGGUUUAGCUAGUUGGUAGGGUAAAAGCCUACCAAGGCGACGAUCCAUAGCUGGUUUGAGAGGAUGAUCAGCCACACUGGGACUGAGACACGGCCCAGACUCCUACGGGAGGAAGCAGUGGGGAAUAUUGGACAAUGGGCGAAAGCCUGAUCCAGCAAUGCCGCGUGAGUGAUGAAGGCCUUAGGGUUGUAAAGCUCUUUUACCCGGGAUGAUAAUGACAGUACCGGGAGAAUAAGCUCCGGCUAACUCCGUG